RNAcentral lists this ribosomal RNA (430 nucleotides) under Ischnocnema sp. LN05. Its description in RNAcentral is "partial large subunit ribosomal RNA". It matches the Rfam family "Bacterial large subunit ribosomal RNA", at positions 2011 to 2603 of the family's 2925-position model. The record is from RNAcentral. Lineage: Eukaryota; Metazoa; Chordata; Amphibia; Anura; Brachycephalidae.
UCAAACUGUCUCCUUUCUCUAACCAGUGAAACUAAUCCCCCCGUGAAGAAGCGGGGAUUCCACUAUAAGACGAGAAGACCCUGUGGAGCUUAAGACAAAAUAAUUAUUACUAUCUACAAAUAUCCUCCCGAGAGUUACACAUACAGUACUUUAAUUAUCUAACCUUUAGUUGGGGCGACUGCGGAGUAAAAUUAACCCUCCGCGCUAAACAACCUCCCACAAAGAGUCACAACUCUAUGUAUCAACACAUUGACAGCAAUUGACCCAAUUACUUGAGCAACGAAACAAGUUACCCCAGGGAUAACAGCGCAAUCCAUUUCAAGAGUCCUUAUCGACAAAUGGGUUUACGACCUCGAUGUUGGAUCAGGGUAUCCCAGUGGUGCAGCCGCUACUAAAGGUUCGUUUGUUCAACGAUUAAAACCCUACGUGA